UGAGGAAUAUUGGUCAAUGGCCGGAAGGCUGAACCAGCCAAGCCGCGUGGAGGAAGAAGGCGCAAGAGCGUCGCAGACUCCUUUUGUCGGGGGACAAACGGCCGCACGCGUGCGGCUCUGAGGGUACCCGAAGAAAAAGCAUCGGCUAACUCCGUGCCAGCAGCCGCGGUAAUACGGAGGAUGCGAGCGUUAUCCGGAUUCAUUGGGUUUAAAGGGUGCGUAGGCGGUGUCUUAAGCCGGCGGUGAAAUCGCGGGGCUCAACCCGCCGAGCCGUCGGAACUGGGAUGCUCGAGUGUCGGCGGAGGCAUGCGGAAUGCGCGGUGUAGCGGUGAAAUGCAUAGAUAUCGCGCAGAACCCCGAUUGCGAAGGCAGCGUGCCAGCCGCCCACUGACGCUGAGGCACGAAAGCGCGGGUAUCGAACAGAUUAGAUACC
This 433-nucleotide ribosomal RNA is filed under the name uncultured bacterium. RNAcentral describes it as "bacterial SSU rRNA". It matches the Rfam family "Bacterial small subunit ribosomal RNA", at positions 355 to 786 of the family's 1533-position model. The record is from RNAcentral.